Molecule: ribosomal RNA, 276 nt
Filed under: Triticum aestivum (bread wheat)
Lineage: Eukaryota; Viridiplantae; Streptophyta; Magnoliopsida; Poales; Poaceae
Description: partial small subunit ribosomal RNA
Source: RNAcentral
AUGGAUUUCUCGAACAAGUUUGUGACCGCCCAGGUGAUCCACACCCCAACAACAACCGUCCCGUGUUCUGCGAGCUCAUAGGAGAAGCUGCUGAGAUCGCACAUGUAGUCGACGGACGUCUCUGCCGCCGCAAAGAUUGGAAAGUUGUUGGGCGAGCGCCUGCUGCUCAAGUAGAUACCUGCCGUGUCCUGUUAGAUGAAGAGAGAGCAGAAGUACCAUCGGAAAGUCAAGGCUGUUAUAGAUUCUGUCAGAGAAGCUGGUGUCAAGUUGUUGUGA